GAUGAACGCUAGCUACAGGCUUAACACAUGCAAGUCGCGGGGCAGCAUGGGGGUUGCUUGCAAUCCCCGAUGGCGACCGGCGCACGGGUGAGUAACGCGUAUCCAACCUGCCCUUCACCACGGGAUAACCCGGCGAAAGUCGGACUAAUACCGUAUGCUGUCCAUUGACGGCAUCCGAUUUGGACGAAAGGUUUGGCGGUGAAGGAUGGGGAUGCGUCCGAUUAGCUGGACGGCGGGGUGACGGCCCACCGUGGCGACGAUCGGUAGGGGUUCUGAGAGGAAGGUCCCCCACACUGGAACUGAGACACGGUCCAGACUCCUACGGGAGGCAGCAGUGAGGAAUAUUGGUCAAUGGGCGUAAGCCUGAACCAGCCAAGUAGCGUGCAGGAUGACGGCCCUAUGGGUUGUAAACUGCUUUUAUGCGGGGAUAAAGUGGCCCACGUGUGGGUUUUUGCAGGUACCGCAUGAAUAAGGACCGGCUAAUUCCGU
RNAcentral lists this ribosomal RNA (489 nucleotides) under uncultured bacterium. RNAcentral's name for it is "partial 16S ribosomal RNA". It matches the Rfam family "Bacterial small subunit ribosomal RNA", at positions 28 to 506 of the family's 1533-position model. The record is from RNAcentral.